Molecule: non-coding RNA, 31 nt
Filed under: Mus musculus (house mouse)
Lineage: Eukaryota; Metazoa; Chordata; Mammalia; Rodentia; Muridae
Source: RNAcentral
GCUAAACACUGAAAUUCUAUGGGGAUACACA